GUAGGGAAUAUUGGACAAUGGGCGAAAGCCUGAUCCAGCAAUGCCGCGUGAGUGAUGAAGGCCUUAGGGUUGUAAAGCUCUUUUACCAGGGAUGAUAAUGACAGUACCUGGAGAAUAAGCUCCGGCUAACUCCGUGCCAGCAGCCGCGGUAAUACGGAGGGAGCUAGCGUUGUUCGGAAUUACUGGGGGUAAAGCGCGCGUAGGCGGCGAUUUAAGUCAGAGGUGAAAGCCCGGGGCUCAACCCCGGAAUAGCCUUUGAGACUGGAUUGCUAGAAUCCUGGAGAGGUGAGUGGAAUUCCGAGUGUAGAGGUGAAAUUCGUAGAUAUUCGGAAGAACACCAGUGGCGAAGGCGGCUCACUGGACAGGUAUUGACGCUGAGGUGCGAAAGCGUGGGGAGCAAACAGGAUUAGAAACCCCUGUAGUCC
Molecule: ribosomal RNA, 425 nt
Filed under: uncultured bacterium
Lineage: Bacteria
Description: partial 16S ribosomal RNA
Rfam family: Bacterial small subunit ribosomal RNA
Source: RNAcentral